Molecule: transfer RNA, 73 nt
Filed under: Ailuropoda melanoleuca (giant panda)
Lineage: Eukaryota; Metazoa; Chordata; Mammalia; Carnivora; Ursidae
Rfam family: tRNA
About the family: Transfer RNA (tRNA) molecules are approximately 80 nucleotides in length. Their secondary structure includes four short double-helical elements and three loops (D, anti-codon, and T loops). Further hydrogen bonds mediate the characteristic L-shaped molecular structure. tRNAs have two regions of fundamental functional importance: the anti-codon, which is responsible for specific mRNA codon recognition, and the 3' end, to which the tRNAs corresponding amino acid is attached (by aminoacyl-tRNA synthetases). tRNAs cope with the degeneracy of the genetic code in two manners: having more than one tRNA (with a specific anti-codon) for a particular amino acid; and 'wobble' base-pairing, i.e. permitting non-standard base-pairing at the 3rd anti-codon position.
Source: Rfam by way of RNAcentral
GCCUGGUUGGCUCACUUAGUAGAGCAUGCGACUCUUGAUUUCAGGGGCAUGAGUUCGAGCCCCACACUAGGUG